RNAcentral lists this long non-coding RNA (211 nucleotides) under Lathyrus oleraceus (garden pea). RNAcentral describes it as "Pisum sativum (pea) long non-coding RNA (PSAT_LNC002333)". Lineage: Eukaryota; Viridiplantae; Streptophyta; Magnoliopsida; Fabales; Fabaceae. The record is from RNAcentral.
ACUGAUAAUAACAGUUACUUUAUUAUCGAUUCCAACCUCUUUAAUCCAUCUGAUAACCUCUUCUCGUGUACCAAAUCUUUCAGUUUUUAUAAACGCAUAAGUAGAAUCUACACAUAUUUGGGGGAGAUUUUCCAUUCCUGCAAAAUAAAAAACAGAUUAAAAAAAGUAAAAAUAAAAAAGCAAACCGGAACACUUCUUGAAAGAGUUCUGG